Molecule: ribosomal RNA, 346 nt
Filed under: Amazonian soil bacterium M55
Lineage: Bacteria
Description: partial 16S ribosomal RNA
Source: RNAcentral
UCACGAACCUGCCGUGGUNACGCCUCCUUGCGGUUAGGCUAACUACUUCUGGCANAACCGCUCCCAUGGUGUGACGGGCGGUGUGUACAAAANCCGGGAACGUAUUCACCGCGGCAAGCUGAUCCGCGAUUACUAGCGAUUCCGACUUCNCUCANUCGANUUGCANACUACGAUCCGGACUACGACCGGGUUUCUGGGAUUAGCUCCCCCUCNCGGGUUGGCAGCCCUCUGUCCCGGCCAUUGUAUGACNUGUGUAGCCCUACCCAUAANGGCCAUGAUNACCUGACGUCUUCCCCACCUUCCUCCGGUUUGUCNCCGNGCGGUCUCAUUGGAGUGCCCUUUCGUA